RNAcentral lists this ribosomal RNA (520 nucleotides) under uncultured bacterium. Its description in RNAcentral is "partial 16S ribosomal RNA". It matches the Rfam family "Bacterial small subunit ribosomal RNA", at positions 355 to 864 of the family's 1533-position model. The record is from RNAcentral.
UGGGGAAUAUUGCACAAUGGGCGCAAGCCUGAUGCAGCCAUGCCGCGUGUGUGAAGAAGGCCUUCGGGUUGUAAAGCACUUUCAGCGAGGAGGAAGGUGGUGAGCUUAAUACGCUCAUCAAUUGACGUUACCCGCAGAAGAAGCACCGGCUAACUCCGUGCCAGCAGCCGCGGUAAUACGGAGGGUGCAAGCGUUAAUCGGAAUUACUGGGCGUAAAGCGCACGCAGGCGGUUUGUUAAGUCAGAUGUGAAAUCCCCGGGCUCAACCUGGGAACUGCAUUUGAAACUGGCAAGCUAGAGUCUCGUAGAGGGGGGUAGAAUUCCAGGUGUAGCGGUGAAAUGCGUAGAGAUCUGGAGGAAUACCGGUGGCGAAGGCGGCCCCCCUGGACGAAGACUGACGCUCAGGUGCGAAAGCGUGGGGCAGCAAACAGGAUUAGAUACCCUGGUAGUCCACGCUGUAAAACGAUGUCGAUUUGGAGGUUGUGCCCUUGAGGCGUGGCUUCCGGAGCUAACGCGUUAAA